AGUGAACGCUGGCGGUAGGCCUAACACAUGCAAGUCGAACGGCAGCACAGUAAGAGCUUGCUCUUACGGGUGGCGAGUGGCGGACGAGUGAGGAAUACAUCGGAAUCUACUUUUUCGUGGGGGAUAACGUAGGGAAACUUACGCUAAUACCGCAUACGACCUACGGGUGAAAGCAGGGGAUCUUCGGACCUUGCGCGAUUGAAUGAGCCGAUGUCGGAUUAGCUAGUUGGCGGGGUAAUGGCCCACCAAGGCGACGAUCCGUAGCUGGUCUGAGAGGAUGAUCAGCCACACUGGAACUGAGACACGGUCCAGACUCCUAUGGGAGGCAGCAGUGGGGAAUAUUGGACAAUGGGCGCAAGCCUGAUCCAGCCAUACCGCGUGGGUGAAGAAGGCCUUCGGGUUGUAAAGCCCUUUUGUUGGGAAAGAAAAGCAGCAGGUUAAUACCCCGCUGUUCUGACGGUACCCAAAGAAUAAGCACCGGCUAACUUCGUG
Molecule: ribosomal RNA, 492 nt
Filed under: uncultured bacterium
Lineage: Bacteria
Description: partial 16S ribosomal RNA
Rfam family: Bacterial small subunit ribosomal RNA
Source: RNAcentral